This 73-nucleotide transfer RNA is filed under the name Nanobdellota archaeon. RNAcentral's name for it is "tRNA-Thr". It matches the Rfam family "tRNA". Rfam says of the family: Transfer RNA (tRNA) molecules are approximately 80 nucleotides in length. The record is from RNAcentral. RNAcentral also lists the same sequence under 1 other name. Lineage: Archaea; Nanobdellati; Nanobdellota.
GCCUCUGUAGCUCAAUGGUUAGAGCGAUAGUUUUGUAAACUAUAGGUUGGGGGUUCAAUUCCCUCCAGAGGCU